Molecule: transfer RNA, 75 nt
Filed under: Populus tremuloides (quaking aspen)
Lineage: Eukaryota; Viridiplantae; Streptophyta; Magnoliopsida; Malpighiales; Salicaceae
Description: tRNA-Leu
Source: RNAcentral
CGAAAUUGGUAGACGCUACGGACUUAGUAAAAGGAAAAUCCGUCGACUUUAUAAAUCGUGAGGGUUCAAGUCCCU